RNAcentral lists this transfer RNA (64 nucleotides) under Crioceris duodecimpunctata (spotted asparagus beetle). Its description in RNAcentral is "tRNA-Ala". Lineage: Eukaryota; Metazoa; Arthropoda; Insecta; Coleoptera; Chrysomelidae. The record is from RNAcentral.
AGGAUAAUAGUUAAAUUAACAUUUAAUUUGCACUUAAAAAAUAUUGAAUAAUCAAUUUAUCUUA